This 253-nucleotide ribosomal RNA is filed under the name uncultured bacterium. Its description in RNAcentral is "partial 16S ribosomal RNA". It matches the Rfam family "Bacterial small subunit ribosomal RNA", at positions 524 to 776 of the family's 1533-position model. The record is from RNAcentral.
UACGUAGGGCGCAAGCGUUAUUCGGAAUUACUGGGCGUAAAGCGUGCGCAGGCGGUUUGUUAAGUCCGUUGUGAAAGCCCCGAGCUCAACUUGGGAAUUGCAGUGGAUACUGGCAGGCUGGAGUACGGUAGAGGAAGGUGGAAUUCCCGGUGUAGCAGUGAAAUGCGUAGAUAUCGGGAGGAACACCAGUGGCGAAGGCGGCCUUCUGGACCAGUACUGACGCUCAUGCACGAAAGCGUGGGGAGCAAACAGG